CCUGCUAAGCUAUGCCCUCGAAAGGCCAACACAAACCCCCCUUCCUAGGGGGGAGCUAGCAUCAAACGUCUCCCUUCCGGGUGAGCCUUCUGAGCAAGGGCGCUGCAGCCUGGCUAGAGGUGCGGCACAACGCGUAGCGCGCCUACUCAGAAGUAUGUCCUCCGCAAUUCAAUAGGUCUUACUUCCAAGAUCGGUGUGAAAGGGAAGAAUACAGUUGGCUGCCUUUGAAGAACUGGUUCGAGAUCCACCACCGUCCACCUGGACUGGGCGAGAGUGCUUGUAGUCAGUCGAGAAAAUCCACUCUGCCGACUGAGUUUCAUUUGGACUCGGCAAGCGAAAGGAAGCUCGUAACUCCCCUUCGCCUUCUGACCAGCUCCUGCCACAGGCAAGGCCUCUCGUGUGUAUGUGCUGUCACUGUUGCGCGUGUGUUGUGCGCAGAUUUCUGCAUGAGCAAGAUGGGGACUGAUUGGAAUCCCAUUUACUCAUCCCUCUUCUCGCGUCGCUAUGAGUCUCCAAAGAGGAGCCCCGAAGUUUAUCCAAAGACGACUUAGAGGAAGAAGACAGGCCUUCUCAGUGAAUACGGCUCUGGAGGGCGGACAGAAGAGGAGGAAUAUAGGAGCAUCGAGCUUUCAAACAACUUCCGAAUUGCCCAGCAUUAGGUUAAAGCCGUCCUUCUUGCUAACUGCGUUUCAAGUAAGCUAGAACCCAAAUCUUUAAAGAAAAAGAAACUAGAAUUCGAGUCCAUCUAACCAAUUUGUUUUAAAAGUCCCGAAACUCUUAACCCAACCAGGCGUGUUUUGGUUUCCACUAGGCACUUGAGGCUUCACGCGCUUUCUCUGAUGCAGAGAAAGGUUCUAGCAAGCCACACUCAGUUCAUUCUGAAAGGCAAGAGUAGUCUCGGUGGGUGAUAGUCAACGUUCCUCCUACUCAAGAGUAGACCCACUGAAACCAAUGAUUUAUGCUUUUCAAGCCGCCACCUCCCGCGUGGAGUAUGAUAAUGUGGCUUUAAUAGUAGUUGUACUUCAGGAUUGCUAUAUUGGCUGCGAUUGUGUGGAACGCGAGGCUGAAUAUCAGGUACAGUCAAAGAUGAAGCACUUUUAAGGCCGGAGAUUGAAUGAGAUAUGCGGUUAACAUUAUAAGUGAAAUCAAUGAGUCAUAAAAAUACUUUGGCUGAAUACUGUGCUAUUAUGUAAAUGAUUCCACUAUUAUCCUGAUGCCCAGAUGUCGAGAAUACCCCUUUUAACAGAGGUUGCAAUCCUAGUCGUGGACGGGAGUCAGCGGGGAUGUCUAGGCAAGUAUAACUCGUGGGAGCCUGCCCGAUUGCAAAUGUGUAAGGUAACCGAUGGGUUUUCCUAUCAAGUAAUGUUCACAGGAUCAAAUAAACAAAGCAAUAUUUAAAGUCAAGUAGGCAAAGCAAUAAUAUACAUAGAGUACAUAGAAUAGGCAGCAUCUAUAUAUAUAGGCCUCGACUGAGAGCCUAACAACCCAGUCACAGAAUCGUAGCAUUGUAGAGUUGGAAGGGACCACGUGGGUCAUCUAGUUCAACCCAUUACAAGGCUGGAGUAUUUUUUUUGUCCAACCUCUGCCGACAAGAAAGCCCCUAUUUUCAGUCCGACUUGUCCUAGGACUUCCAUGGGCUGCAACUCAGGGAGUUGGCAGACUUUAGGCUUUUCUGAUCUAUUUUGCUUUUUACUAGAAUCCCAAGAUCUACCAAACAGAUUCUAGUGCCUCUGAGCCCAUUCGGGGCCUAGGAGUUGGUCUGCAGUAUCAGAACUGAGCUGAACUCACAGUCCUUUCUCACAACCCCAAAACAACCCCCCCAGCCCCCUUCAUUUCAGCAGUUUACUUUGGACGAAGCGGGAAGUAAUUUUGCUAAACAGUUGGGAGUCUGAAACCAAACUGCUUGGGAAUCUAGUGCAUAUCAGGCAAAGAUUUACCGUAGAUUCAGCUCUGUCUUUACUUGAGAAUAAAGUGUAUAUUUGGGGGUAAGGUUGCAGUCCGAUUCACAGUUUAGACGUGGAAUGGUAAGCGUGCCAACAAGAUUUGAUGAUGUAUGAAACAUGAUACUCCAGGUUCAUAUGUGCAUUUUAAAUACGCAUGUUAUUCAUACAGGCCAUCUUGGAGGGGGGCUACUCUAAGCACAGUAAGCCCACUGGCAAGCAAUAUCAAGAGCUAAAAUUAGUUCGUUAUCUUUCCCGCAUCUCUUUGCAUUAUACUGGAAAAUAACAGACAGGUAUUAUUGUUUAAGUUAAGAAAGGGGG
Podarcis raffonei (Aeolian wall lizard) is the source of this 2261-nucleotide long non-coding RNA. RefSeq lists it as uncharacterized. The transcript has 2 exons. The record is from RefSeq and is a predicted model, not a curated record. Lineage: Eukaryota; Metazoa; Chordata; Lepidosauria; Squamata; Lacertidae.